GGCUAGGUGGCGGAGUGGUUAUCGCGCAAGACUAGAAAUCUUGUUCCUUCGGGAGCGUCUGUUCGAAUCAGGCCCUAGUCG
RNAcentral lists this transfer RNA (81 nucleotides) under Xylariaceae sp. FL0016. Its description in RNAcentral is "tRNA-Ser". It matches the Rfam family "tRNA". From Rfam's summary of the family: Transfer RNA (tRNA) molecules are approximately 80 nucleotides in length. Lineage: Eukaryota; Fungi; Ascomycota; Sordariomycetes; Xylariales; Xylariaceae. The record is from RNAcentral.